RNAcentral lists this ribosomal RNA (497 nucleotides) under uncultured bacterium. RNAcentral describes it as "partial 16S ribosomal RNA". It matches the Rfam family "Bacterial small subunit ribosomal RNA", at positions 28 to 507 of the family's 1533-position model. The record is from RNAcentral.
GAUAAACGCUGGCGGCGUGCCUAAUACAUGCAAGUCGAGCGAACGGACGAGAAGCUUGCUUCUCUGAUGUUAGCGGCGGACGGGUGAGUAACACGUGGAUAACCUACCUAUAAGACUGGGAUAACUUCGGGAAACCGGAGCUAAUACCGGAUGAUAUUUUGAACCGCAUGGUUCAAAAGUGAAAGACGGUCUUGCUGUCACUUCUCGAUGGAUCAGGGCUGCAUUAGCUAGUUGGUAAGGUAACGGCUUACCAAGGCAACGAUGCAUAGCCGACCUGAGAGGGUGAUCGGCCACACUGGAACUGAGACACGGUCCAGACUCCUACGGGAGGCAGCAGUAGGGAAUCUUCCGCAAUGGGCGAAAGCCUGACGGAGCAACGCCGCGUGAGUGAUGAAGGUCUUCGGAUCGUAAAACUCUGUUAUGAGGGAAGAACAUAUGUGUAAGUAACUGUGCACAUCUUGACGGUACCUAAUCAGAAAGCCACGGCUAACUACGUG